Bufo bufo (common toad) is the source of this 238-nucleotide long non-coding RNA. RefSeq lists it as uncharacterized. Lineage: Eukaryota; Metazoa; Chordata; Amphibia; Anura; Bufonidae. The transcript is spliced from 3 exons. The record is from RefSeq and is a predicted model, not a curated record.
AAGAUCCUAGAACUUACCACCAGGAUCACUGAGCUGCUGAGCGGAGAGGUUCCUAUAAGGUGUCAGGAUGUCGCUGUCUAUUUCUCCAUGGAAGAGUGGGAAUAUUUAGAAGAACACAAGGCUCUGUACAAGGAUAGAGACCACAUGGCUGCAUGGAUACUAGACCUCACCCUGGAGAUCAUCUCCUUGAUAACUGGAGAGGAUUACACAGUAGUGAAGAAGUUGUCUGGUGAGUGUG